GCUUAACACAUGCAAGUCGAACGGAAAGGCCUGCAGCUUGCUGCGGGUACUCGAGUGGCGAACGGGUGAGUAACACGUGGGUGAUCUGCCUUGCACUUCGGGAUAAGCUUGGGAAACUGGGUCUAAUACCGGAUAGGACAGCUGUUUAGUGUCAGUUGUGGAAAGUUUUUUCGGUGCAAGAUGAGCUCGCGGCCUAUCAGCUUGUUGGUGGGGUAAUGGCCUACCAAGGCGUCGACGGGUAGCCGGCCUGAGAGGGUGUACGGCCACAUUGGGACUGAGAUACGGCCCAGACUCCUACGGGAGGCAGCAGUGGGGAAUAUUGCACAAUGGGCGGAAGCCUGAUGCAGCGACGCCGCGUGGGGGAUGAAGGCCUUCGGGUUGUAAACUCCUUUCGACAGGGACGAAGCUUUUGUGACGGUACCUGUAUAAGAAGCACCGGCUAACUACGUGCCAGCAGCCGCGGUAAUACGUAGGGUGCGAGCGUUGUCCGGAAUUACUGGGCGUAAAGAGCUCGUAGGUGGUUUGUCGCGUCGUCUGUGAAAUUCCGGGGCUUAACUCCGGGCGUGCAGGCGAUACGGGCUGACUUGAGUGCUGUAGGGGAGACUGGAAUUCCUGGUGUAGCGGUGAAAUGCGCAGAUAUCAGGAGGAACACCGAUGGCGAAGGCAGGUCUCUGGGCAGUAACUGACGCUGAGGAGCGAAAGCAUGGGUAGCGAACAGGAUU
RNAcentral lists this ribosomal RNA (722 nucleotides) under Corynebacterium striatum. RNAcentral's name for it is "bacterial SSU rRNA". It matches the Rfam family "Bacterial small subunit ribosomal RNA", at positions 46 to 779 of the family's 1533-position model. The record is from RNAcentral. Lineage: Bacteria; Bacillati; Actinomycetota; Actinomycetes; Mycobacteriales; Corynebacteriaceae.